AUUGAACGCUGGCGGCAGGCCUAACACAUGCAAGUCGAGCGGAGCGGCGGACGGGUGAGUAAUGCCUAGGAAUCUGCCUGGUAGUGGGGGAUAACGUCCGGAAACGGGCGCUAAUACCGCAUACUAUCAGAUGAGCCUAGGUCGGAUUAGCUAGUUGGGGGGGUAAAGGCCUACCAAGGCGAAGAUCCGUAACUGGUCUGAGGGGAUGAUCAGUCACACUGUAACUGAGCACCGGUCCGGACCCCUACGUGAGGCAGCAGUGGGGAAUUUUGGACAAUGGGCGAAAGCCUGAUCCAGCCAUGCCGCGUGUGUGAAGAGGGUCUUCGGUUUGUAAAUCAUUUUAAGUUUGGAGGCGUUACCAACAGAAUACGCACCGGCUAACUUCGUGCCAGCAGCCGCGGUAAUU
This 406-nucleotide ribosomal RNA is filed under the name uncultured bacterium. Its description in RNAcentral is "partial 16S ribosomal RNA". It matches the Rfam family "Bacterial small subunit ribosomal RNA", at positions 30 to 525 of the family's 1533-position model. The record is from RNAcentral.